UUGAAGCCACAAGGCCCGUGAUAGCCACGACGCUACCCUGCUGCCGGUCAGCUACUUAUCACAGGGUCGACGGAUCUGGCAAGUAAAAUAAAUAAAAUAAAAAAUCGUAGGAACUAACUUGAGAAGAUACAGACUCCAACCUUCAGUCAUCCUAGUUUCGGGACAUGUGCUGACCUUCAACUAUAGAAGACCUUCAGCCGGUAUCACGAAGACCAGGAAGACCCAAUGCCAGACCAUCACUUGACCUGUUUUGAGAUCCAUGUUGGAAUGGACUCUGCUGGACUGCACAUAGAGAAUCUUUCAACCUACUUCCCUUGAUUUCUUUGUUCUGCUUUCCCUCUCUCUCCUUAUAAAAGCCUCUGCCUGCACUGAGAUGUUCAGAUGGGCUUUGGGACAAGAGUGCCCCAUCUUCUCGAGGUGCCAGCACUUGAAUAAACCUCUUUCCUUUUUUCACCA
Non-coding RNA from Miniopterus natalensis, 456 nucleotides. NCBI's taxonomy places the organism in Eukaryota, Metazoa, Chordata, Mammalia, Chiroptera, Miniopteridae. The record is from RefSeq and is a predicted model, not a curated record.